Molecule: ribosomal RNA, 448 nt
Filed under: uncultured bacterium
Lineage: Bacteria
Description: SSU rRNA
Rfam family: Bacterial small subunit ribosomal RNA
Source: RNAcentral
AGAGCGAACGCUGGCGGCAGGCUUAACACAUGCAAGUCGAGCGGGCGUAGCAAUACGUCAGCGGCAGACGGGUGAGUAACGCGUGGGAACGUACCUUUUGGUUCGGAACAACCCAGGGAAACUUGGGCUAAUACCGGAUAAGCCCUUACGGGGAAAGAUUUAUCGCCGAAAGAUCGGCCCGCGUCUGAUUAGCUAGUUGGUGAGGUAAUGGCUCACCAAGGCGACGAUCAGUAGCUGGUCUGAGAGGAUGAUCAGCCACAUUGGGACUGAGACACGGCCCAAACUCCUACGGGAGGCAGCAGUGGGGAAUAUUGGACAAUGGGCGCAAGCCUGAUCCAGCCAUGCCGCGUGAGUGAUGAAGGCCCUAGGGUUGUAAAGCUCUUUUGUGCGGGAAGAUAAUGACGGUACCGCAAGAAUAACGCCCGGCUAACUUCGCGCCAGCAGCCGC